This 564-nucleotide ribosomal RNA is filed under the name marine sediment bacterium BB0608_AND_6.1_6G0. RNAcentral's name for it is "bacterial SSU rRNA". It matches the Rfam family "Bacterial small subunit ribosomal RNA", at positions 79 to 628 of the family's 1533-position model. The record is from RNAcentral.
UUGCUCCCUGACGUCAGCGGCGGACGGGUGAGUAACACGUGGGUAACCUGCCUGUAAGACUGGGAUAACUCCGGGAAACCGGGGCUAAUACCGGAUAGUUCUUUUCCCCGCAUGGGGAAGAGUGGAAAGGUGGCUUCGGCUACCACUUACAGAUGGACCCGCGGCGCAUUAGCUAGUUGGUGAGGUAACGGCUCACCAAGGCGACGAUGCGUAGCCGACCUGAGAGGGUGAUCGGCCACACUGGGACUGAGACACGGCCCAGACUCCUACGGGAGGCAGCAGUAGGGAAUCUUCCGCAAUGGACGAAAGUCUGACGGAGCAACGCCGCGUGAGUGAUGAAGGUUUUCGGAUCGUAAAGCUCUGUUGUUAGGGAAGAACAAGUGCCGUUCGAAUAGGGCGGCACCUUGACGGUACCUAACCAGAAAGCCACGGCUAACUACGUGCCAGCAGCCGCGGUAAUACGUAGGUGGCAAGCGUUGUCCGGAAUUAUUGGGCGUAAAGCGCGCGCAGGCGGUCUCUUAAGUCUGAUGUGAAAGCCCACGGCUCAACCGUGGAGGGUCAUUG